UACGUAGGGUGCAAGCGUUGUCCGGAAUUAUUGGGCGUAAAGAGCUCGUAGGCGGUUUGUUGCGUCGGCUGUGAAAUCCCGAGGCUCAACCUCGGGUCUGCAGUCGAUACGAGCAAACUAGAGUGUUGCAGGGGAGACUGGAAGUUCCUGGUGUAGCGGUGAAAUGCGCAGAUAUCAGGGAGGAACACCGGUGGCGAAGGCGGGUCUCUGGGCAAGCAACGUGACGCUGGAGGAGCGAAAGCGUCGGGGAGCGAACAGG
This 259-nucleotide ribosomal RNA is filed under the name uncultured bacterium. RNAcentral describes it as "partial 16S ribosomal RNA". It matches the Rfam family "Bacterial small subunit ribosomal RNA", at positions 524 to 776 of the family's 1533-position model. The record is from RNAcentral.